GAGAGAAUCCCAAGCAGACUCCACACUACCAGCACAGAACCCGAUGUGGGGCUUGAACCCACGAACCACGAGAUCAUGACCUGAGCUGAAACCAAGAGUCGGAUGCUUAACCGACUGAGCCACCCAGGCACCCCCUAAGAUUCCUUUUCAAAUGUGUCUCCUUCUCGAACUCUUUUUCUCAGUGCAUAUAAAAUAUUUUUUAAGUGGGUUAAUGUUAUUUAAAUUGUGUCACAGCUUGCUUUUUCUCUUAAUUUAUCCUGAAUAUUUUGCUAUUUAAUCGCCUGAUUUGGGUGACUAGCAUUUGAAUAAAAUAAGCUGGAGAGUAUAAGUUCCAUAAAUAAUGCACAGAAUAUUUGCUUACCUAACAUGGAUUACACAUCUGCUCUAUGCCAGAUACUGUGCUGUGAGCAUCCCUGACCCCUCAGAACCGGGGCUGAUGGAAAGCCCCAAGAUGGGGUGGUGGCUGGGGGCUUUCUGGUCCCAAGCUGCCCUUGGGAGUAGAGACUUAGCUAAAUUGCCUCCUCUCCUGAGAGAUUCUGGAGAGUUUUCAUCUUUUGCAGGACAAAUGGAUGAGAAGUAGAAUGGAAAGAAUGAGGUAGAAUGGAUGAAAAAGAAAGGGAAUGGAAAAGGCAGUUUGAACGAUUUCAGCAAUAAACUUGGGGACUCUCAGGUUCUUAGAUUGCUUUUUUUACAUUUUUUUAAAUGUUUAUUUAUUUUUGAGCGUGUGAGCGGGGGAGGAGCAGAGAGAGAGGGGAAAAAGAAGAUCCGAAGUGGACUCUGACAGCAGAGAGCCUGAUGCAGGGCUCAAACUCACGAACCGUGAGAUCAUGACCUGAGCUGAAGUCGGACACUUAACCUACUGGGCCACCGAGACACCCCUCUUAGAUUGCUUCUUAAUGAUCAAAACCUUUAAAUACCUGGGGACAAUGUGGAGGUGCCUGUGAGACCAAACCCAGAGAAUGGAGCACUGGGGUUAUCAGUACCGGGUAGGGUUCCCACCUCCCCGGCUUACUAGCAGUGUGACCCUGAGUAAGCCACAGCCUCCUGGGCCUCAGUUUCCACACCUGUAUAAAGAGAAUCAUAUCGAUACAUACCUUUAUAAGCUUGCUCUGAGAAUCAAAUGAAAUAAUCCACGUCAGAUGCCCCAACAGUGCUGAUACAUGGUAAAUGCCGCAAGUAUUGUGACUACAAGAUGUAACCUUUAAAGCAUCAUUUUAAGGGAAGAAAAAUAGAGUCAUCUGGGAACUCAGUAUUUGAGUGUUUAGCCAUAUAGAAAUGCUUUCAGAAGUGUGAGCAUUCUUGGAAAUGGAAGUUCUCCAUUGGUCAUGCAUAAGUAAAAUCUUCCUGGAAUGUGAUGUGCUAGUAAAAUAAUCCUUAGUGAAGGAGAGCUUGAGGAUUUUGUCUCCUUUGCAUUAUAAAUUAUGUGCAAAGGACUUCAUGAAUUAUUUCCUUGAUUCCAAGUGGCACGCUUUCCACAUUGGAACGUUUCUAAAUCGGUAUAUAUCUUACAAUCGGUAUAUCAUACUUAACAGACAGUAUAUUUUCUUUCUCAGUAGUACCUAAAAUAAUACAACUUAAAAUUGCUGGCAUCUGAGGUUUAAUAAACCAUGCCUGUUUCGUUGUUCAUUUUUGGAGCAGGGAGGCUUUGGCCUGGUUUUUGUAGUUAAUUUUUUUUUUUUUAGUAAUUGGAAACACUAGUGUUCUCAAAAGCAUUCAUUAUUCGUCUGUAUUUAAAUCUCCAGAUUUGAUUCCCAAUCUCAGAUAGCCUUCUAUAAUCUAAUCAAUUUGGGGGCAACCUAAAAAUCAGUAUUUCUGAUUGCAUUUUAUAUAUUGACAUCAUAAAACAAAAGUACUAUCACGUAUUAAUAUUUCUAUGUGUAUGGAGGGGGAAGCAUGUUAAAUUAUAAAACCUAACUUACUCUUUUGUAAUGCUAGGCUGGUUCAUCUUCAAAUGCUGCUAUCAUGUCAGUCAUUCAUAUAACAAUGUAAACACACACAACAUAUAUAUAUAUAUACAUA
This is a long non-coding RNA of Acinonyx jubatus (cheetah), 2019 nucleotides long. RefSeq lists it as uncharacterized. Lineage: Eukaryota; Metazoa; Chordata; Mammalia; Carnivora; Felidae. The record is from RefSeq and is a predicted model, not a curated record. The transcript has 2 exons.